RNAcentral lists this ribosomal RNA (513 nucleotides) under uncultured bacterium. RNAcentral's name for it is "bacterial SSU rRNA". It matches the Rfam family "Bacterial small subunit ribosomal RNA", at positions 1 to 507 of the family's 1533-position model. The record is from RNAcentral.
CGUACGAUACGAGUUGAUCCUGGCUCAGGAUGAACGCUAGCGGCAGGCUUAACACAUGCAAGUCGAGGGGCAGCGCGAUGUAGCAAUACAUUGGCGGCGACCGGCGCACGGGUGCGUAACACGUAUGGAACUUACCCUUUACUGGGAGAUAGCCCGGAGAAAUCCGGAUUAAUAUCCCAUAAUAAACGAAGUGGCAUCACUUUGUUUUGAAAGCUCCGGCGGUAAAGGAUGGCCAUGCGCACGAUUAGCUAGUAGGUGAGGUAACGGCUCACCUAGGCUACGAUCGUUAGGGGGCCUGAGAGGGUUAUCCCCCACACUGGUACUGAGACACGGACCAGACUCCUACGGGAGGCAGCAGUGAGGAAUAUUGCGCAAUGGAGGCAACUCUGACGCAGCCAUGCCGCGUGCAGGAAGAAGGCGCUACGCGUUGUAAACUGCUUUUAACCGGGAAGAAACCCUCCGACGUGUCGGAGGUUGACGGUACCGGAGGAAUAAGCACCGGCUAACUUCGUG